This 1201-nucleotide long non-coding RNA is filed under the name Equus caballus (horse). Its description in RNAcentral is "lncRNA (ENSECAG00000045707.1)". Lineage: Eukaryota; Metazoa; Chordata; Mammalia; Perissodactyla; Equidae. The record is from RNAcentral.
UGUGUGCGCGUGCGUGUGUGUGUGUGUGUGCAUGUGUACGUGUGUCGAGGGAGGAGGAAGGCAAGCUUGAUGACACGCUCCAUUUCACAAGCUAAGUAAAUGGGGCAGAGAGAUGGGCGGCUGCCUGGGCAUCUCGCCAGGUGGGCAUCUUGACUCCAGGUCUGAGUUCUUUCUGCACAGGCUCCCUUGAGGGUUCCUACGUGGGCUCUGGAAGCUGACUGCCCGGGUUCAGAUCCAGGCCGGGCCUUUUGGUGACUGCGCAGCCUUGGGCACAUUCCUUAACCUCUAGGUGUCUGGUUUCUUGGGUCUACAAAAUGGGGACAACCCACGGGAGGAACCACCUGUGGCCGCUGUGGAGUUCCAUCGGGGCCUCUCACACUGACUGAGCGCUGUGUGCCAGGCGCCCAGAGCUGGCGUGCCAAGCGGAUGUCCACUGCCCUCGCGAGAGCCAGGCCUGGGCUGGGCCUGUGCCCUUGACGCGGAGUAAACAGACCGCAGCCUGACUCGUAGGAAGCGCUCGGUGACUGUGAGCUGUCCCCAUCACCAAGCCCAUAAGCCAGGCGGCUGGGGCACAGGCUGUCGCAGCAUCCUGCAUGGAGGAAGCAAUCUGGAUGUGGCCCUUCCUGUGUGCAGACAAGGUGCUGGGUGCUGGGGCCCCAGGGGGGAGGGGAACAGACCCCAGUCCCUGUCCUUGAGGCGCUCACAGCCCCUGGGAGACAGAAGUGACACAGAGAGGGAAGCGGAAACAGCUCACAAUAACAGGCAGCGUGGCUGGGGCCAGAGGAGAAGGAAGACGCUCCAUCCAUUACCUCCCGCCACCCGCAUCCGCCGCCCGCCCGCCGCCUGUCUUGCUCUCUUCCUUCCCAUACGCCUUUCUAAAGAGAUGUGCAUCUGGUUCGGGAACGUUCCUUCGGCCACGGUUCUGCCCUUAGCUCUCCUGGGCGGCUUCGUCCUUCCUUGGGGCAUGAAGUGCUCUCACUGGGCCGUGGCGAGGAUGAAAACGCGUUUGUGAAGCGCUCCCCAAAUGGAGGCCAGAAUAGGUGCUCGACACCUGGGCACGGCGAGGUGUCCGAGGUGUCAUCGUUACUCACAGCCCAGGAGAAGGAAUACUGAGGGGGGAGGGAAAGGGCUGGGCCCCUGGCUCUGCCCCUAAGGAGCUCUGUGACCCUCGGUGGCAGCAGAGAAGUGGAAAUCCAGCGAG